GUCCAUGAUCAUCGUGUCCGACAUGGAGCUGAGCCCUGGGAUAUCCAGCAGGUUGGUCAUCCCCGUCCAGUUGAUGUCCAAAGUUGGGCGCCGGAUGAAGAACAUGGUGAGGGCCCCCACGAUGGGCACAUCGCCCAGCAGCGGCUCCAGGAUGACCCGCAGUGUCCCGUGGAGCUGCAUGCCCUUCACCCCCGCCUUGCAGAAGAACUUCUUCACCUCCACGUCG
This 226-nucleotide long non-coding RNA is filed under the name Gallus gallus (chicken). The record is from RNAcentral. Lineage: Eukaryota; Metazoa; Chordata; Aves; Galliformes; Phasianidae.